AUUGAACGCUGGCGGCAUGCUUUACACAUGCAAGUCGAACGGCAGCGGGGUAGUGCUUGCACUACUGCCGGCGAGUGGCGAACGGGUGAGUAAUAUAUCGGAACGUACCGAGUAAUGGGGGAUAACCAAUCGAAAGAUUGGCUAAUACCGCAUACGUCCUGAGGGAGAAAGCGGGGGAUCGCAAGACCUCGCGUUAUUCGAGCGGCCGAUAACUGAUUAGCUAGUUGGUGGGGUAAAGGCCUACCAAGGCGACGAUCAGUAGCGGGUCUGAGAGGACGAUCCGCCACACUGGGACUGAGACACGGCCCAGACUCCUACGGGAGGCAGCAGUGGGGAAUUUUGGUCAAUGGGGGCAACCCUGAUCCAGCCAUGCCGCGUGUAUGAAGAAGGCCUUCGGGUUGUAAAGUACUUUUGUUAGGGAAGAAAAGGGAGGUGCUAAUACCACUUUUUGCUGACGGUACCUAAAGAAUAAGCACCGGCUAACUACGUG
This 490-nucleotide ribosomal RNA is filed under the name uncultured bacterium. RNAcentral describes it as "partial 16S ribosomal RNA". It matches the Rfam family "Bacterial small subunit ribosomal RNA", at positions 30 to 507 of the family's 1533-position model. The record is from RNAcentral.